UCCCUGAACUCCCUAAAAAGUGUCGCACUACCGGUCUGCCGCCGCUCAAGAAGAACAUCAAAAGUCUUCACUUGUUCCAGUGUUCUGCAGUUCAGUGAGUUCACCUUCUUCACUUUUCAGUUCUUCUUUGAAUCUCCUUCUCCAUUUCGCUCUCCAUCACAUUGAAACACACCCUGCAAGUAAGUGUCGCCGCUCAAAAGUCUUCACCUGUUCUGCAGUUCACCUUCACUCGUUUAGCUGCUCGCCGCCUACCUGAUUUGGUAUUUUUGAAGCAAAAGGAGCAAAUAUUUGAAGGAUAUUUGUCUAUAGAUCGGAUCGGGUUUUUUUCUCUAAUUUUUAUUUUUAUUUUUUUAUAGAAGAUUGAGAGCAGAGCUACAAAAAGCCAGAAACUGGACCAUGCUAGGAUAUGUUUAAUAUAUGUUUAUGAUUCUAUAAACUUUUGGUUAUGAACUUUUUUAAUAUGUUUAUUGACUUUUGGGUUUGAACUUUUUUAAUAUGU
Molecule: long non-coding RNA, 499 nt
Organism: Alnus glutinosa
Lineage: Eukaryota; Viridiplantae; Streptophyta; Magnoliopsida; Fagales; Betulaceae
Exons: 3
Source: RefSeq, a predicted model, not a curated record